Raphanus sativus (radish) is the source of this 808-nucleotide long non-coding RNA. RefSeq lists it as uncharacterized. NCBI's taxonomy places the organism in Eukaryota, Viridiplantae, Streptophyta, Magnoliopsida, Brassicales, Brassicaceae. The transcript has 2 exons. The record is from RefSeq and is a predicted model, not a curated record.
AAGACCUCCUCUCUUACAGAACCUUAAGUACCUCCUCUCUUACAGAACCUUAAGUUUGUCAUUCAUUCUCUUUUCUUUUUUUUUGUUGGUCUCGGAAGAGUUAUUACUUGUGAGUUUUCACUUUUCAAAGAUGACUGUUGAUUGAUCUCUGCCAUGCCUCUACGCUACCACGUCUGCAGGGUCUGUUCUUUCUCCUAUCUCUUUCUUUGCUACGUUCUUUCUCCUUUUCCAACCUUUGCAUCGGUGGAUUGUCGAGACGGGAGAGUAUGCUUGCUUUGAUCGUUCUUCAGACGUUUUACUGUUUCGGCUGUUUAUCAGUAAGCUUCGGGUUUCUCGUUGGUUGCUGCAAGGAUUGAACACAAGUGUUGAAAGCUUCUGAAGGCGAGAGAAGGUUUCAAGCUGAGUUGGAUUAGCUUUGGCACAUGACUGUCACGUGAGUUGUCCUUAACUUCAAAAGAAAGGGAGAGAGAGAGAGAGAUUAGAGAAGGAUUGUACUUUCAGCUUUGGCACAUGACUGUCACUUGAGUUGUCCUUAACUUCAAAAGAAAGGGGGAGAGAGAGAGAUUAGAGAAGGAUUGUACUUUCAGGUUUAGGGUGUUUCUCUGUUCUUCUCUUUUUUCGGGUGUAAACUGAUUGAUUUGUAAAAGUCUACACAACCAUGCCGGAGGUGAUUUCAGGUUAUCAUCUAUAAAACUUGGGGACCGCACCUAACCGGAUGUACCCGUUAGUUAACACGGAGAACCGGGUCAUAUCGCUCUGUGUUCUUUGAAUCUUUGAUUCAUUCCAACUCAAGUUCGUUGUUCUUGAA